UACGGGGGGGGCAAGCGUUGUUCGGAAUUACUGGGCGUAAAGCGCACGUAGGCGGAUAUUUAAGUCAGGGGUGAAAUCCCAGAGCUCAACUCUGGAACUGCCUUUGAUACUGGGUAUCUUGAGUAUGGAAGAGGUAAGUGGAAUUGCGAGUGUAGCGGUGAAAUGCGUAGAUAUCAGGAGGAACACCUGUGGUGUAGACAGCUUACUGGACCAUUUCUGACGCUGAGACACGAAAGCGUGGGUAGCAAACAGG
This 253-nucleotide ribosomal RNA is filed under the name uncultured bacterium. Its description in RNAcentral is "partial 16S ribosomal RNA". It matches the Rfam family "Bacterial small subunit ribosomal RNA", at positions 524 to 776 of the family's 1533-position model. The record is from RNAcentral.